Long non-coding RNA from Myodes glareolus (Bank vole), 594 nucleotides. RefSeq lists it as uncharacterized. NCBI's taxonomy places the organism in Eukaryota, Metazoa, Chordata, Mammalia, Rodentia, Cricetidae. The record is from RefSeq and is a predicted model, not a curated record.
UCUUCCCUGGGUUGCUGUCCCCGAGGUUCGACCUUUGUUUCCGCAGUGCCCGCCGGCCGGCCGCGCCUCUGUCGGUGCUCUCACUGCUGCCCCGUCCUUCUCGUUUUCCCUCGUUUGUCGCGUCCUCUUCCAAGUUCCCAGGGGCCUUCUUGCUGUGCCCUCGCCCCUCUGAACGCCCACCGACUCUGCCUUCUCGGCUUCCCUCGGUUCAGCUUGGGUAUCCUGUAUGGCGCUGCUUUUUCAUUCAAUGCAAAAGCCUUUUCAGGGCAAUGUUAUUUUCAUGACACACACCCCUUUCGUGAAAUCACGGUUUCUAAAUCUCUUCAAGUGACUCAGUAAUCAGAAGGUCCCAAGACCGAAGUAAAAAGGAACGUUGAGGCUGAGGAGGAAUUGUCUUUUGCCUGGGGAAGCUAUGCAGGCACUGGUGUGCGCGUGGGGACCAGAGGGCAACUGUGGGCAGCAUUCUUCCCCAAGUGCCGACAACUUCACCCGCUGUUUGAAGACAAGAGCCUCUCAAUAGCCUUGGCUUGCUGAGUAGGCCAAGCACGUUUGAUCAAGAUGUAGAACUCUCAGCUUCUCUGGAGCCAUGCCUGC